ACACUUGGAUUGAUGUAAUUGAUUAGUCCCCUCCCCCCAAAUUUCAGGCCUUGUGCCUUCAGUGGAAAGGAUUAUCAUUAUCAUCAGUAAGGGAUGUGGAUUGGCAGAAUUGGUAGAGCAUCAGAAAAAAUAUGCUUUGUAAUAUAUGUUCUGGUUCUUUGCAUUCUGAAUUCAAAUUUCACCGAGGUCAACUUUACCUUUCAUCCAUUCUGCCUAAAAAGAUAUCAUCAUCACCGUCAUUUAUUAUUAGGACAGUUUAAUGUCCAAGACAGAAUGUCACUCUAAAAUGCUUGACGGUGUUUAAUAUCCACAUUCUGAGUUUUUAAAAAUCUUGUCAUGUUGACUAUUAUUACUACUAUUACUACCACCAAUUAUUUCUAGUACUAAUACUAGAGUAAAAUACCAGUUGAGUACAGGGGUUGAUGGUAUUGACUAACCUCCUUCCUAUUGCUGGCUUUGCACCUAAAUUAGAAACUAGUAAGGCAGCUAGGUAGCAGAAUUGUUACCACGCUGGACAAAAUGCUGUUAAGCAUUUCUUGUUCUGUAUCCGGAUGCCACUGAAGUCAACUUUGCUUUCAUCCUUUUGGGGUCGAUAAAAUAAGUACCAGUUGAGCACUGGGGGUCAAUGUAGCUGACUUCCCUCCUCCUCUCAGUAUUGCUGGCCUUGUGUAUAAAUUAGAAACCAGUAUUAAUAUCAUUAUUAUUAUUUGGAAGGGUGGUGAGUUGGCAGAAUCUUUAGGAUAUUGGACAAAAUGCCUUGUACUGUUUGUUCUGGUUCUUCUUGUGUUCAUAUCCUACCAGUGUCAACUCUGCCUCUCACCCUUCCUGGGUCGAUUAAACAAAGACCCAGUCAAGUUGUGUGGGUUGAUACAAGAAAGGGCGGUGGGUAAGCAGAACUGUUUGCGGCAGACAAAGUGCCAUGUGGUAUUUUGCUGCAACUCAUGCUCUGAGCUCAUCCUGCCAAACUCGAGGUCUUGUGCCUGCGAUAGAAACCAGAGGAAGGCCAGUGAAGGGUCAGAAUUGGUAGAGCAUUGGACAAAAUGAUUUGUCGUAUUUAUUAGUCAAUGUUCCUUCCUCUAUCUACAUUCUGAAUUGAAGCAUCAUCAGGGGUCAAUAUAACCCUUCGACCUUCCGAGAUCAAUGAAAUACACAGUGAAGUAUUGGGUCAGUUUAAUCAACUAUUCCUUCCACCCCGAAACUUGUGGCCUUCUGCCUAAAAAGAUAUUAUCAUCACCGUCAUUUAUUAUUAGGACAGUUUAAUGUCCAAGACAGAAUGUCACUCUAAAUGUUUGACGGUGUUUAAUAUCUACAUUCUGAGUUUUAAAAAAUCUUGUCAUGUUGACUAUUAUUACUACUAUUACUACCACCAAUUAUUUCUAGUACUAAUACUACCACUAUUUCUACUACUAUUAUUGUUACUAUUUCUCCAGUUUCCAACCAAUUCCAAGAAAAAAUAUAUAUAUGAAACAAAAUAAAAAAGAACCAUGUUCUAUAAAAAGAAAAAAAAUGUAUUAUAAAUCUUAUGCAACUUCAGGAAAGUGAUAAAAAAAAAAAAUAAACAAAAGCAAGAAUGAUGUUUGAAAACAAAACCCAAAAAAAAGGACAAUGAACUUGUUCAAGAACUUCUGUAAAAUGUCUACAAAAAUAUUUCACGUUGUCUCAGUA
Long non-coding RNA from Octopus sinensis (East Asian common octopus), 1665 nucleotides. RefSeq lists it as uncharacterized. The transcript has 2 exons. Lineage: Eukaryota; Metazoa; Mollusca; Cephalopoda; Octopoda; Octopodidae. The record is from RefSeq and is a predicted model, not a curated record.